Haliotis rubra (blacklip abalone) is the source of this 416-nucleotide long non-coding RNA. RefSeq lists it as uncharacterized. The record is from RefSeq and is a predicted model, not a curated record. The transcript is spliced from 3 exons. Lineage: Eukaryota; Metazoa; Mollusca; Gastropoda; Lepetellida; Haliotidae.
CGACAGUGAACAUCCCGACAGCGAGUCUAUAAAUGAUGAGGACUGGUCAACAUCACGGAAUACAGCACCGGAACCUUGCAGGAACUUCGGAAAGAUUGACUUCAGAGAAGGAAAGACUUCAAGGUAUGUUCGUAUCGAUGUUCAGACUGACAUGUCCGUCGUUGAGCACCUAUUGCUGGAGGUAUGGAGACUGCCUCAACCAAAAUGGAUAUUCUCCGUCAUAGGAGACGAAUAUGGACAGGCUGACAAGAAGGCGAAUGAAGUUAGGUGCCAGCUGAAGGGACUGGUGAAGGCAUUAUCAAAUGGCCAAAAUAUCUGGAUUACAACCGAAGGCAUACAUUUUGGGACUGCAAAAAUGGUGGGAGAAUACAUCAAGGAUAUGUCUUCCAAAUACAUAACUCCUGUAGGAGUAUCUG